Long non-coding RNA from Schistocerca piceifrons (Central American locust), 626 nucleotides. RefSeq lists it as uncharacterized. The transcript has 4 exons. The record is from RefSeq and is a predicted model, not a curated record. Lineage: Eukaryota; Metazoa; Arthropoda; Insecta; Orthoptera; Acrididae.
ACUCCGACCAGAAGCACUGUGCUGUAGGUUGGCAACGACUGAUCUGUUAUGUUAUAGCAAUAAUGUUUGUAAAGUUCUUUCCACGUCUGGUGAAUAGAUUAUCGAAUGAGAAUCUGUAUAAUAUUGUGAAUUAAAUCUAUUCGUAACGGAGUGCCAUGAAUUCGAUGCCGAAGGUGUAGGCGAAUGCUGAAUGAUUUAUGAGUCCCAACGCCGACAAACGAUUUACAAAAGCAUCAGUCCUAAUCAGCAAGUUUUCUAAAUUAUUAAUUUCACUAUCGAAACUGUCGUUUGACUACAUGACAGACUGAACUGCUUGCUGAAAACAGACUUUUUAACACUACAGUGAGCGUUGUCGUUAGAAGAACGUCCAGCGUUUGAUGUGAUGAAAAAGUUGCUGAUGCUGACCCUGAUUUUGGUAGAUACACAACAAAAGGAUGCACUGUGGCCUGGGUUGCUGCUAGUGAUAUCCUUGUGCUGCAUCUUGUAGAAAGAAUGAAUAAUUCUCAGAAAAAUCUCCAAUCACUAUUCACUCUGUUGGCCUGAGUGCUUCUUUCAGUGAGGAUAGGCAAAUGCUGCGAUCACUCCUCCAGCAAGAAUACUUAGAAGAUGCAACAUAUCUACUAAAG